This 335-nucleotide long non-coding RNA is filed under the name Brassica napus (rape). Its description in RNAcentral is "long non-coding RNA (BNAP_LNC017332)". Lineage: Eukaryota; Viridiplantae; Streptophyta; Magnoliopsida; Brassicales; Brassicaceae. The record is from RNAcentral.
AAAAAAAUAAUAAAUUUUUUUUUUAAUUUUUUUCUGAAUUAUACUAUUUCGAAAUUCAAACUCUGAACUCUAAAACUCAGCUCUAAACCCUAAACCAUCAAUCCUAAACCCUAUUUUUUUUGAAAUACGAACCCUAAACCCUAAACCAUCAAUCUUAAACCCUAUUUUUUUUAAAUAAACCCUAAACCCUGAAACAUCAACUCUAAAUCCUAAAUCCCGAAACAUCAUAUCUAAACCCUAAACCUUAAACCUUCAACUCUAAACCCUAAAACAUCAACUCUAAACCUUAAACCCUAAACUUCAACUCUAAACCCUAAACCAUCAACACUAAACCC